Bubalus bubalis (water buffalo) is the source of this 2754-nucleotide long non-coding RNA. RefSeq lists it as uncharacterized. NCBI's taxonomy places the organism in Eukaryota, Metazoa, Chordata, Mammalia, Artiodactyla, Bovidae. The record is from RefSeq and is a predicted model, not a curated record. The transcript is spliced from 2 exons.
GUUGGACACGACUGAGCGACUUAACUAAUUGUAGUCAGCAAUUUAUUUACUAUUUCUUAUUUUGUUACUUGUAUUAGCCUCCUCACAGAGAACUCAAGAUGCUACAAGUUGUCACAAGGUUUUGUUCUCAUUUCACUCUAGCUCAUAAAUUUUAGCAUUGAGAAAAACAAAUAGCUAAGCUAAAAUGAUGGAAAAUAAAGGUAUGGCUCACAGCCCUCCCCACUGAAAACAGAUAAUACUUUUGAAUGAAAAUAGGCUGCAGCGCUCUUCCAACUAAAUCACGAAGGAAAGGGGUUUUAUAGAUAAUAGUGAUGGAAAAGAUCAAUUUCAAUGUGCCUGGUGGGUAUAAAAAGCUAUUGAAAUACACUAUCUGCUUGCUUCCUGCUCAGAUACAAAAGAACAUUUCAUCUCCUGCAAAACCAGACACUCUCUCUUGUUAUCAGCUACAAACAUUCUCUUGAGGAUUCCUAUUCAGAGGCAGACUGUUGGUAAAACCAACAGCUUUAAUAUUCAAGACCGAACAAUGAUAUGGGAGCAUCAUGUGAGAGGCAGGAGGGGACCCAGGGCCUCGUCCUCCUUCAGUGGACCAAGUGUGGAGCCAAUCAGCUUCUAGUCACAAAGGCUCAGUCAGGACUUCUUCAUCCCCUCGUAGGUUAGGUGGCUUCAGAGCAAAGAAAAACUGCUCCACACUACACACUGUGUAGCAUACUUAUGUGUGAUUGGUUACAAGAACCAAAUGACUUUUUAAAACCCUUCUGUGUUAUAUGAAAAAAAAAAACAAAAACAAACCCAUCUCCCAGCACAUCUCUGCUUCACAGCUCAGCCUCUGAGAUCUGAGUAGCACAUGCUCACAAUCUUCCGUAGGGAAACUGCUGAAUUCACCAGGCAGGUACUUCUCCAAUGCUGAUAAGUUCUGAUGGAGUUCCUUAAGGAACCUCCACCUACCCACCACUCUUCUUUUGGCUCCACCUGCUUCACUCCAUCCCUGCCCACCUGUUCCUCACCUAGGUUGGUGCUGCUGCUGUUUAUCUCAUUUUGACUGAUUCAGGCAGCUUCUUUUAGCGCCUGUGUCUCCCAGCUCACUAUACUUUUGUUACUGCAGCCUAAGAUCAAAGGAGCCCUUUCUGUCAGCCACUUUGUACCCUGGAGGCUUUCGGGACAUGCUCUUGGUUAAAAGACCCAAGGCUUUUUCAUCGGGAGCCGUGUGGUCUCCCUAUACUGGGCCAGUCAUAGUGUUUGAUGACCCAUAUUGCAGACACUUUGACACAGUUUUUUAAAUGUUCUUGUUUCAUUUAGUCUAUCUUUCUGGCCUGUUGAAAUCUUUCUGAUCUCCAAUUCCGCCAUUAAGCGCAUUUUCUAUACGUCCUGCUUCACAUUAUCCAAAAAAUAGGAUAAAUGUGCCUUCUGUCUCAUCAUUAAAAUCACUGCCUAAGGCAAAGUUCAAUGAAUGGAGAGAGGGAGGAGUCUGCAGAAGUUAAGUAAACCAAAGUAUUCUGUGUCAUUUUCUCUAGCUGUGAGCUUCCCAGGUGGCACAUGGUAAAGAAUCCACCGGCUAAUGCAGGAGAUCCUGGAUCGGGUAGAUCUUCUGGAGAAGGAAAUGGCAAUCCACUCCAGUAUUCUUGCCUGGAAAAUUCAGAGGAGCCUGGUGGGCUGCAGUCCAUGGGGUCGCAGAGUCAGAUAAGACUGAGCACUCAUGCAGGCAUCUUCAGCUGCAUCUUCACCAUGGGAGGCUGCGUGUUAGCUUUUAACCAUUUACCAUGUUAUUAUUCAGGAAUGGUCCUUGCAAGAGGUAAUAAAACAGACUCCUCCCAGAUGUCCUUCUCAUACGUGUCAGCAGCAGCAGAAGUCAAGGAGUCACUCUCUACCCUGGACCGUGGGACCAUCUGAACCAAAAGUCAGCCAGAAGGCAGGAGAGUGGCCCUGGAACUUCCAAAGAUGCAAAAUCUAGCAAAGCUGGCAUCAGAUGCAAAAUAAAACAGGCUUUCUUGGCAAGCAUCCUAGGCAAUUUAGGAACAGAAAGACAAUACUGUAAGACAAUUGGCCGAUUUUUUUCUAGAACACGUGAAGAAGCUGCAAAGGUUGGAAAAAGAAAGAUUCCAGAAGACUGAAGAAGAUAAAACAUGGAAUCAUAAAAUUUCAAAGUACAAAUGAACCUCAGAGAAGAUCAUGUCCACACACUUGAUCUCUCUUUAAGGAAACAGGCAGAGAGGUGAUGAGCUUUGCCUACAGUGAACCUGAAUCUGCAGGACCUCCUUGGGCUUAUGGAUUAGACUCCACCCCCGGCUUCUUCCCUAGUCCCCAGCCCUUCUGGUCUCUUAAUACCAAGUCUAUUAGAUGGAAGGUGAGUGCUGGUCCCUAAAGACCCACUGCUCCAUCCCCUGGAUGAGCAUGAGAUGAUCUGAUGAAUCAGCUGAUGCUAGGAAGGACCUGCCUGCAGGUCAGCUCAGAUCUGUCAGGUCAACGUCACCACCUUUGGGCAGAUGGCCACCUGCACUCAGAAAGCAAUCUAAAACAGAAAGCCCAGCACUUCUGCUAGUCUAGGGCAAUGGGCAGCUCCUGGGGCAAGCCUGCCAGGGGUGCUCUGCCUCUGCCUGGACCCAUGACCUUGAGCAAAACCACUUAACCUCCUUGGGCCCCAGUCCCUUAUCCUGGGAUGUCAGCAGGGCUGAUGAUAUAAUGGGGUUGUCAUGAUGACUAAAAGAGAAAUCCUUUUAAGCACUUAUAAUAGUGCCUAGACCAAAAUAAACACUAAGU